RNAcentral lists this ribosomal RNA (230 nucleotides) under uncultured Alicycliphilus sp. RNAcentral's name for it is "partial 16S ribosomal RNA". It matches the Rfam family "Bacterial small subunit ribosomal RNA", at positions 550 to 774 of the family's 1533-position model. The record is from RNAcentral. Lineage: Bacteria; Pseudomonadati; Pseudomonadota; Betaproteobacteria; Burkholderiales; Comamonadaceae.
AGAUCAUCACUGGGUAUAAAGGGUGCGCAGGCGGUUUUGUAAGACAGAGGUGAAAUCCCCGGGCUCAACCUGGGAACUGCCUUUGUGACUGCAAGGCUGGAGUGCGGCAGAGGGGGAUGGAAUUCCGCGUGUAGCAGUGAAAUGCGUAGAUAUGCGGAGGAACACCGAUGGCGAAGGCAAUCCCCUGGGCCUGCACUGACGCUCAUGCACGAAAGCGUGGGGAGCAAACA